GGCGGAGGGGCACGGUCUGUGGCGGCAGCUAUGCGGCAUGCCUGGGCCCGUUCUGCCCGGUCCACCAGGGACUUCUCACAACAUUCAAGAUUACUGCCAGUUUACCAGCCUUUUCUCAAAUUCAUCUGUCUGCUGUGGUUGAACCUGGGGGCUGAUUCUCUCCAUCUUCACUCAAGAUCUAAUUUGCCUCAAUAACUCCCAAGGCUUGAGAAUUCAAACGCUGCUGGAACCCUUCAUGAAUUGCCUCUGAUCCUCAAGGAAAUUACAGCAAUUACAAAAUAACUUCCAAACACAUUUAUUUAAACCGCACAUCUCACCUUGGAAAGAAUAAUCUACAACAUUUACACAUUUACAUAUAGACAGAACCUUUAAAUAUGCAACAGAUGUUUCAUUUUCUGAAAAGCUCUUGAAUUCAUUGACAGACCUUUGGCUAAACUGAUGAAUUAAUUUGUUCAGGGCUGAUUUCAUAAGUCCUCUAAUAAUUCAUACCCUUACACAUCUUGACUUGAUUUCUGAGGUCUACAGCAUGUGUUUUAAAUGUUUUAACCUUUACUACUUUAAUCAUGUAACAUUUAUUUCAGGGCUGGAUGAUGAUCAGUCAUUGAAAGAUACAGUUGACUAGGAAAUAAAAUUCAAUUUGUCAGUUAAACAAACCUCUGCAUAUGAAAUAAGAAAUAAUCAGUCUGUAUUACUGGAACUCUGAAAUGCUUAGUGUUUUUGAUGUCACUCUCCCUUUCAAGAAUAUAUAGUACUAGAUUGCUAAAUAUAGCUUGAUGCAGUGCUCGUAUGUGGAAAUCACAGUUACCAUGCUUAUGUAUAACCAAUUUCUCAGGAUGGUUAAAAUGUAAGCCUUUAGCUCUAAACUGAGAUUUAUUUCUAUAAUUUAAAGC
Molecule: long non-coding RNA, 890 nt
Organism: Poecile atricapillus (Black-capped chickadee)
Lineage: Eukaryota; Metazoa; Chordata; Aves; Passeriformes; Paridae
Exons: 3
Source: RefSeq, a predicted model, not a curated record